UGAUUUUAUACUAUUGUGUUAAAAUUUUAUUUAUGUAGUUGGUGCAAUAUUAAUCACUUGGAUGUUACUUAUUACAAAAUAUAUUCCUUUUGUGCAUCUUUUUGAUGAAAUGCAGGUAAUCCUAAUUAUGUAUCACAGUGAUUUCAUAUUAAUGUAUAAUAAUAUUUUCUGUUUUAUUAAGAUUUUUGUGUAUUUGAUAGUUGUUUAUUUAGUCUUUUAUCAUGAAAGCUCAAAGAUAGAUUUUUUUUGUGGAAUCUUUUUUCUUCUUCAAUAUUCACUUUUUCUUUUUUCUCAAAAAAAUGGACUAGAGCAAAGGAAAGGUCUCAAGGCAUUGAGCCAGUAAAAUAGGAAUAUUUGCUGGUUGGAGUUGAAUUCGAAGGGAAAAGGCCUUGAUGCAUAUUUAGUAGAUGUUUGAUGUUAUGAUUUGGUUUAACUAAAUUUUUUAGAGAAAAAAUUCUGCUUUAUAUGCAAACUGGCUUCUUGAAACCUAGCUUAUUACUCUAAAGAUUUUGUGUCUACUACAGAAUAUUAAUAUUUAUUUUUUAGUAUCUAUUAAUUAAAAAAAAUCAGUUUAUAUUUCUAUGAAUUUUCUUAGACUUUAUAUUUGAUGGGCUGGUGUGGUUAAGAUAUAUGCAAUUCACUUGAAUAUUGGUGGACUUUAACUCAUUCCAAGUAUUGAUCUAUAAUAUUGAAUAAGAUGUAUAGCUUAUAAUCAAUUUUAUAUUUUUUUUUAAUAGAUAGUUACAUAGGUUGGUAACAUGAGGGUGAAUGCUACAAAUUUGAUUAAAGAAAGUAUCCCGAGCUACCCUCAAAAGAGUACUAAGAUCCGGGAGCACAAAGCAGGCGAUCGUAAGAGCAAUUGCUCAGGAGCUAUGUUCCACCAAAUACCGAAUCCAAACAUAGCACAUAGGCAUAUUAUAAAACGUGAGCCCUUCAGGAAUCGUAUGAUUGGAGUGCAGUAACGGGUCACUUGAAGAGUGCCUCCCGCGCAAUAAUUGGAACCCAUACUCUUAAUUAUUUAUUUAAACUGGAUAAUUUUAUUAUCCAUUUGUGUAGAUUGUUGAUGAAGCUGAAUUCUUUUUAUUUGGAACUGAUGACCUUACCCAAAUGACAUUUGGGUAUAGUGGAGAUGAUGUUGGAAAAUUUCUUUCCAUUUACCUAUCAAGCGGCAUUCUGCAGAGUGAUCCGUUCGAGGUUAGUUGUGUAACGUUUAUUUUCUCAUUGAGGACAUGUGAAAGAUGGUUCUUGAAAUUUUUUAACUAUUUCACAAUAAUAUUAAAUGUUCAACUAUUAAACUAAAUUUUGAAGACUCUUGCAGAGUUCUAA
Molecule: long non-coding RNA, 1326 nt
Organism: Arachis duranensis
Lineage: Eukaryota; Viridiplantae; Streptophyta; Magnoliopsida; Fabales; Fabaceae
Exons: 2
Source: RefSeq, a predicted model, not a curated record